RNAcentral lists this long non-coding RNA (648 nucleotides) under Cricetulus griseus (Chinese hamster). RNAcentral describes it as "lncRNA (ENSCGRG00015037842.1)". Lineage: Eukaryota; Metazoa; Chordata; Mammalia; Rodentia; Cricetidae. The record is from RNAcentral.
GUUUGGCUUCGGCCGCCCCUCAACUCCUCUCCUUCCCCCCCCUCCGCCUCCUCGUCUCCCUCCCGCUCCUGGGAAAGCGGAUCCGUCGCUUUAAGGGUGGCUGAGAGAAGCGGCGUCUCGGGGAGGGGACCGCGCCCGCCCCCUUGGAACCACGGAGCGUGGCCGAUACAGAAAAGAAAAAAUGGAAAAAUCACAAGAGAGAGAGAGGAGAGAGAAAAGAGUAUUCCUGAAAUCUGUUGCUUAAAGCUGCAAGACUACCAGUCGUCAAAAGCAUCAGAGUUCUUGAGAAGGAUAAGAUUUUACCUGAAUCAGUGAUUAAAGAAUAACAGAGACUUGCCAGAAGGCUGCAUGGACAGCCAUCCCCAAGGUUCUCCAUCCAUAGUAGCGGGCUGCAGAACAACUGCCUUCUUGCUGAUAGCAUGUGACCUGUGGAUUACAGACUAUAGGAAGACUCUCGCCUGCCAUUGGCUCAAGCAACGCGGGGAAAGUCGAUUCCACUGUCCUCUUGUCCAAGGUCUGGAGUACUUUGUAGCAGUUGAGGUGAAGGGCAGUGUUGCUCAGUGACUAUCGUUGUCACUGACUUGAGAUGAAAUUUCAUCAGUGCCCAUCAGUCUUCUUGGUGGAAGUGGGGUGGAGCCAGCAACUAGC